GGAAUAUUGCACAAUGGGCGCAAGCCUGAUGCAGCCAUGCCGCGUGUAUGAAGAAGGCCUUCGGGUUGUAAAGUACUUUCAGCGGGGAGGAAGGCGGUGAGGUUAAUAACCUCAUCGAUUGACGUUACCCGCAGAAGAAGCACCGACUAACUCCGUGCCAGCAGCCGCGGUAAUACGGAGGGUGCAAGCGUUAAUCGGAAUUACUGGGCGUAAAGCGCACGCAGGCGGUCUGUCAAGUCGGAUGUGAAAUCCCCGGGCUCAACCUGGGAACUGCAUUCGAAACUGGCAGGCUAGAGUCUUGUAGAGGGGGGUAGAAUUCCAGGUGUAGCGGUGAAAUGCGUAGAGAUCUGGAGGAAUACCGGUGGCGAAGGCGGCCCCCUGGACAAAGACUGACGCUCAGGUGCGAAAGCGUGGGGAGCAAACAGGA
Molecule: unclassified non-coding RNA, 427 nt
Filed under: plant metagenome
Description: partial contains 5.8S ribosomal RNA, internal transcribed spacer 2, and large subunit ribosomal RNA
Rfam family: Bacterial small subunit ribosomal RNA
Source: RNAcentral